RNAcentral lists this ribosomal RNA (418 nucleotides) under uncultured bacterium. RNAcentral's name for it is "bacterial SSU rRNA". It matches the Rfam family "Bacterial small subunit ribosomal RNA", at positions 355 to 786 of the family's 1533-position model. The record is from RNAcentral.
UGGGGAAUCUUGCACAAUGGGCGAAAGCCUGAUGCAGCAACGCCGCGUGAGCGAAGAAGGCCUUUGGGUCGUAAAGCUCUGUCCUAAGGGAAGAAGGAAGUGACGGUACCUUAGGAGGAAGCCCCGGCUAACUACGUGCCAGCAGCCGCGGUAAUACGUAGGGGGCAAGCGUUAUCCGGAAUUAUUGGGCGUAAAGAGUACGUAGGCGGUUCUUUAAGCGCAGGGUUUAAGGCUAUGGCUUAACUAUAGUUCGCCCUGUGAACUGGAGGACUUGAGUAUCGGAGAGGAAAGCGGAAUUCCUAGUGUAGCGGUGAAAUGCGUAGAUAUUAGGAGGAACACCAGUGGCGAAAGGCGGCUUUCUGGACGAAAAACUGACGCUGAGGUACGAAAGCGUGGGGAGCAAACAGGAUUAGAUACC